Molecule: ribosomal RNA, 365 nt
Filed under: uncultured bacterium
Lineage: Bacteria
Description: bacterial SSU rRNA
Rfam family: Bacterial small subunit ribosomal RNA
Source: RNAcentral
GGCCGCGGGAAUUGGAUUCAGGCCUGACACAUGCAAGUCGAGCGGUAGAGAGAAGUUUGCUUCUCUUGAAAAAGGCGGACGGGUGAGUAAUGCCUAGGAAUCUGCCUGGUAGUGGGGGAUAACGUGCGGAAACGGACGCUAAUGCCGCAUACGUCCUACGGGAGAAAGCAGGGGACCUUCGGGCCUUGCGCUAUCAGAUGAGCCUAGGUCGGAUUAGCUAGUUGGUGAGGUAAUGGGUCACCAAGGCUACGAUCCGUAACUGGUCUGAGAGGAUGAUCAGUCACACUGGAACUGGGAGACGGUCCAGAGUCCUACGGGAGGCGGCAGGGGGGAAUAUUGGACAAUGGGCGAAAGCCUGAUCCUUA